This 1083-nucleotide long non-coding RNA is filed under the name Mus musculus (house mouse). Its description in RNAcentral is "long non-coding RNA chr15:26442673-26443756". Lineage: Eukaryota; Metazoa; Chordata; Mammalia; Rodentia; Muridae. The record is from RNAcentral.
AGAAAAUCAAGAAGAGGGAAGACCAAUGGGUGGAUACUUCGUUCCUCCUUAAAAUACCCAUGAAAGGAGUUACAGAGACAAAGUUUGGACCUAAGACAAAAGGAUGGACUAUCCAGAGACUACCCCACCCAGGGAUACAUCCCAUAAUCAGCCACCAAACCCAGACACUAUUGCAUAUGCCAGCAAGUUUUUGAUGAAGGGACCCUGGUAUAGCUAUAUGAGGCUAUGCCAGUGCCUGGCAAAUACAAAAGUGGAUGCUCACUAUCAUGUAUAAGACGGAACACAGGGCCCCCAAUGGAGAAGGUAGAGAAAGCACCCAAGGAGCUGAAGGGGUCUGCAACCGUAUAGGAGGAACAACAAUAUGAACUAACCAGUACCCCCAGAGCUCGUGUCUCUAGCUGCAUAUGUAGCAGAAGAUGGCCUAGUUGGCCAUCACUGGGAAGAGAGGCCCCUUGGUAUUGCAAACUUUAUAUGCCCCAGUACAGGGGAACACCAGGGCCAAGAAGUGGGAGUGUGUGGGUAGGGGAGCAGGGCAGAGGGUGUGUAUAGGGAACUUUUGGGAUAGCAUUUGAAAUUUGAAAUGUAUAUAAAGAAAUAUAUAAUAAAAAUGUUCAAAAAAAAAAAAGAAAAAGAAAAUAACCCUAGCUUCUCUAUCUCUGUCCACCUCUCUGCCCCUCUCCUUCCCUUCUCCUUCUCUUAAUCCAUACCUUAUUCUCUCUCCCUCUUUCUCCUUUGGUGUGUGUGUGUAUGUAUGUGGUAUGUACAUGUAUGUGUGUACUUAUGAUGAAACAUUCACCCAUGCAUGCAUACGUGAAUGCCAGGUGAUGAUAUUUAAUGUCUUUCCCUGUUACUUUGCACUUCAGUUUUCCAAGAUAAGGUUUCUUAUAGAGUCCACAGUUCAUGGUUUUCGCUAGAGCGGCUGGCCAGUGGGCUCCUGUGACCCACUUGUGUCAGUUCUGGGCCUCAGCACUGGGUUUCCAGGCUAUUUUUAAUGUGGGUUCUACUGACAUGAACUCAGAGCCUCAUGUUUGCACAAGCAUUUUACCCACUGAGCCGUCUCCAGCUCAGGAACCUGGACUCUGC